This 309-nucleotide long non-coding RNA is filed under the name Ananas comosus (pineapple). Its description in RNAcentral is "long non-coding RNA (ACOM_LNC024854)". The record is from RNAcentral. Lineage: Eukaryota; Viridiplantae; Streptophyta; Magnoliopsida; Poales; Bromeliaceae.
AUCGAACCAAUACAAAAUGUGACCAAGUUCGAAAUGUGAAAUAAUUACGCUUCGAAUAUGAGCGUUUGAACAGUGUUUAAAUAUUUUUAUUUAACACUCUGGACUCGAGACUUUUGGUAAGCCCAUGACGUGGACUUAAAUUAAAUGGGAGAAAAUUAAUAAUGCGAGAAGCCUGAUCGAUGUGAUUCGAAUUCAGGACUUUCUAUUUUGAUAACAUGUGAAACAAUCGUUGGACUUUAAAAACUUUAAGCUGAUAGAGAACUAUGUUUAAAUAUGUUUAUAUUCAAUAGGUAUAUAUAUAACUAAUUA